AAUAGUUUCACAGGGAACAUACCUCUCUCAAUCUGCAACCGAAGCUCUCUCGUCGUCCUUGAUCUAUCCUACAACAACUUCACCGGUCCAAUUCCUCAAUGUCUAAGUAACUUAAAAGUAGUGAAUCUGAGGAAGAACAGCUUGGAAGGAAGUAUACCUGACAAGUUCUAUAGAGGUGCUUUGACACAGACGCUUGACGUUGGUUACAAUCGACUAACCGGGAAGAUUCCAAAAUCACUUUUAAAUUGCUCCUUUCUGAAGUUUCUGAGUGUUGACAACAACAGAAUUGAAGACACGUUUCCUUUCUGGCUGAAGGCGCUACCCAAUUUGCAUGUCUUUACUCUCCGUUCAAACAGAUUCUUCGGCCAUCUCUCUCCUCCUGAUCGAGGUCCUCUCGCAUUUCCUGAGCUGCGGAUACUUGAAUUGUCGGAUAACAGCUUUACCGGAAGCUUGCCACCAAGUUUCUUUGUUAACUGGAAAGCAUCAUCAGUCAAGAUAAAUGAAGAUGGGCGUAUGUAUAUGGGAGACUACAAAAAUGCUUAUUAUAUCUAUGAAGACACUUUGGAUUUGCAAUACAAAGGUCUAUUCAUGGAGCAGGGGAAAGUCCUUACUUCCUACAGCACCAUUGAUUUCUCUGGAAACAAACUUGAAGGACAGAUUCCUGAGUCCAUUGGUCUGUUGAAGGAAUUGAUUGCGCUCAACUUAUCAAACAACGCCUUUACUGGCCAUAUUCCUAUGUCUUUGGCAAAUGUUACGGAGCUUGAGUCACUAGACCUGUCAAGAAACCAACUAUCAGGGAAUAUUCCUAGAGAACUCGGAAGCCUUUCGUUUUUGGCGUAUGUAAGUGUGGCUCAUAAUCAACUCAAAGGUGAAAUACCACAAGGACCACAGUUUAGUGGGCAAGCUGAAUCAUCAUUUGAAGGGAAUGUAGGUCUAUGUGGUCUUCCUCUCCAGGGAAAUUGCUUUGCGCCACCAACACUCUAUUCAAAGGAAGAAGACGAAGAAGAAGAAGAGGACGAAGUGUUAAACUGGAAAGCAGUGGUUAUCGGGUAUUGGCCUGGACUGUUACUUGGAUUGGUAAUGGCACACGUCAUUGCUUCAUUCAAGCCGAAGUGGUAUGUCAAGAUAGUUGGUCCAGAUAAGGGCAAGCAAGUAGAUCCAGUUAGAUUGUUUAUGACUCUGGAUUCAAGAUGGGACAGUUUUAAUAAUAAGGAUAAUGUAGAAGAAGAAAGUGAUACGAAAAUAUAGAAUGUGGAUAUGUUGUUACCUGAUGUAAGAAAGAAGUUGACUAGUUUCUGUAACUUUUGGUUCCCUAAAUUAAGAUCUCUCUUUUGGCUGAUAAUAUCCUGAUGUAUCUCUUGGUAGAUUGUUGAGGUAGAGGCUUAUGACAUAAGGCAUUGGUUCUUCUCUGAUUCUUGAAUUAACCCGAGCCGAUGUUUCUUAAUGCACGAAAACCGUUGUUUCAGCUUCCUAUUAAGACAAACUGGAUGAAAUGAACAUAAGACAGUCCGAGCCUGUAAGAUCAUACAAGUCUCAAGAAUUCAAUCUCAGAACAGACAUUCACGAGAAUCUCUUUUUUAAAAUGUAAAUGCUACCACUCACAAUUGAUACAAAUCAGUUUAUAUCAUGAGAGGACUUACCAAAUAUAACAAUCUUGUUACACUUUGAACUAACAUUCUCAGAUAACAGAGUAUGCACAACAUAUCAAUCCAGAGUAGCUAAAACCCUAGAAUCAAAUUCACUAAAUUGAUUUCAUUUCAUGAUUCGAUUAUUCUUGCUUAUCAAAUCACGAGAGAAAAAAAAAAAAAAAAAAAAGAGUACAACAAAUGAGAUCACCUGGAACUACUUGAUUUAGGAAGCCUCUACCAAAACGUCGACGAGAGUGACGGUGAUCGCAAUAGCUCCGCCGUCGUCGCAUCAUAAAAUCUCCUUCUCGAUUUGUUUGUUACUAAAGUAGACUUUACAGGAAAUACUAACAAUCUGGUUAAUUAAAUUAUUAUUACCGGUUUUGUCUAAAUUGGUUUACUUACUGCUGGUUUAGCAUUUUAAAAAAUUAGUGCUGCUGGUUCAGCUUCUUUUUACUACAAACAAACACCAAAGAGAUCUACUCUCUUUCCAAAAUUGAUUAUUUUUCCACUAAUUCACAAGCUCUCAAGCAUUAAUCAGUUUUUCUUUUUAUUUUCUUUUAACAGUUCUUGAGAUUGACUGAUAGAGAAACUUAUAACGCAAAGAGAUGUCUAAGUUUUCAAAGUUUGACAACGUCUUCUUCUCCAAUUCACAAACAAAUCAAUACCAAAUCUUAUCCUUAAGACAUUAAAGGUUACAAACUCUUUAACCAAGUCUUCUCCAACCAACCAACCAACAAACAAAAUUUAAUGCCAUUUCAUUGUAAAAGGUCACAAAUUCUUAAAAUAUAAUAGCCCAAGAAAGUUUAAUGAGAAUAUAAAGUUUCAACAACUAUAUCACUUAUUUGCACAAGAAAAUUCAAAGAGAAUAUAAUGUCUUCAUCUUAAAAGAAGUGUAUAUGGCUGCUAUUUUCUAUUUCUAUUUUUAAAUAAGUAAAAAUCUUAUAUCAGAAAUUUUAUCCAAUGCAAAAAAAAAAAAAAAAAGAACACACAUCCUAUGUCUAUUUAAACCAAUCUUCUCCAGCACUUUGCUUAAAUAUUGUUAUUCUUCAUAAAAGUUUUCAUGAAGACCAUAAUGUCGGUGCUCUUACUGUUUUCUAUCUUUGCUGCAAGCUUCACUCUUGUUGUUGGACUUGAUGGUUGUCGUCCCGACCAGAUUCAAGCCAUAACGCAAUUCAAGAACGAGUUUGAUUCCAGAGAUUGCAACCAAACUGACUACUUCAAUGGAGUAGGGUGCGAUAACACAACUGGUGUGGUCACAAAGCUACAACUCCCAAGUGGCUGCCUUCGUGGAACCUUAAAGCCCAACAGUAGCCUCUUCAGCUUGCAGCAUCUUCGUUACCUUAAUCUCUCAAAUAACAACUUCACUUCUGCUUCGCUCCCUUCUGGAUUUGGAAAUCUCAACAAAUUACAGGUCUUGUAUCUUUCCUCUAAUGGCUUUCUAGGUCAAGUUCCUUCCUCAUUUAGUAACCUUAGCCAGCUUUACAUUUUAGACCUUUCCCAUAAUGAGCUCACGGGUAGUUUCCCAUUUGUACAAAAUCUAACAAAGCUCUCGAUUUUAGAGCUUUCCUAUAAUCACUUCUCUGGAGCCAUCCCUUCUUCUCUCCUCACUUUGCCUUUCUUAUCAUCUCUUCAUCUGCGUGAAAACUAUCUCACUGGUUCUAUUGAAGUUCCUAACUCCUCUACCUCAUCUAGGCUCGAGUUCAUGUACCUUGGGAAUAACCAUUUUGAAGGACAGAUCCUAGAGCCUAUCUCAAAGCUCAUCAACCUCAAGGAGCUCGACAUUUCUUUCCUAAACACAAGCUACCCAAUUGACUUAAACCUCUUCUCCUCUCUCAAAUCUUUGGUGAGGCUUGUUCUUUCCGGUAACAGUUUAUUGGCUACUAGUAUAAGUUCAGAUUCCAAGAUCCCACUGAACUUGGAGGAUUUGGUCUUGUUGAGUUGUGGUCUCAUUGAGUUCCCAACCAUCUUAAAGAACCUUAAGAAAUUGGAGUAUAUAGACCUUUCCAACAAUAAAAUAAAAGGGAAAGUCCCUGAGUGGUUGUGGAACCUUCCUCGUCUGGGCAGAGUGAAUCUUUUAAACAAUUUGUUCACUGAUUUAGAAGGUUCGGGAGAAGUUUUACUGAAUUCAUCGGUGAGGUUUUUAGAUUUGGGUUAUAACCAUUUUAGAGGACCAUUUCCAAAACCACCACUCUCUAUCAACCUCUUAUCUGCAUGGAACAAUAGUUUCACAGGAAACAUACCUCUUGAAACCUGCAACCGAAGCUCUCUUGCUGUUCUUGACCUAUCCUACAACAACUUAACUGGUCCAAUUCCUCGUUGUUUGAGUAAUUUCCAAGAGUCUCUCAUUGUAGUGAACCUCCGGAAGAACAACUUGGAAGGAAGUCUUCCAGAUAUAUUCUCUGAUGGUGCCUUGCUUCGGACACUUGACGUUGGCUACAAUCAACUAACCGGGAAGCUUCCAAGGUCUCUUCUGAAUUGCUCUAUGCUAAGGUUUGUAAGCGUAGACCACAACAGAAUCAAAGACACAUUUCCUUUCUGGCUUAAGGCUUUACCUGAUUUACAAGCUCUUACCCUCCGUUCAAACAAAUUCCAUGGCCCUAUAUCUCCUCCUGAUCGAGGUCCUCUUGCGUUUCCCAAGCUGCGCAUACUUGAAAUAGCAGAUAACAACCUUAUAGGAAGCUUGCCACCAAAUUACUUUGUGAAUUGGGAAGCAUCAUCACUCCACAUGAAUGAAGAUGGGAGAAUCUAUAUGGGUGACUACAACAAUCCUUACUAUAUAUAUGAAGAUACAGUGGAUUUGCAAUACAAAGGUCUAUUCAUGGAGCAAGGAAAGGUCCUUACUUCCUAUGCCACCAUUGAUUUUUCUGGGAACAAACUUGAAGGACAGAUUCCCGAAUCCAUUGGUCAUUUGAAGGCAUUGAUUGCACUCAACUUAUCAAACAACGCAUUCACAGGCCAUAUUCCUCCAUCUUUGGCAAACGUGACAGAGCUGGAGUCACUAGACCUCUCAAGAAACCAACUGUCCGGGAAUAUUCCUAAAGGACUCGGGAGCCUCUCGUUUUUGGCGUACAUAAGUGUGGCCCACAACCAACUCACAGGUGAAAUACCACAAGGGACACAAAUCACUGGGCAAUCUAAAUCCUCCUUUGAAGGGAAUGCAGGGCUUUGUGGUCUUCCUUUGGAGGAGACUUGCUUUGGGAGUAAUGCGCCACCAACACAACAGCCUAAGGAAGAAGACGAAGAAGAGGAACAAGUGUUAAACUGGAAAGCAAUGCUUAUAGGGUAUGGGCCUGGACUGCUGUUCGGGUUGGUAAUAGCACACGUUAUUGCUUCAUACAAGCCGAAGUGGUCGGAGAAGCGCAAGGAAGUCAAUCCAGUUAGAUUGUUUAUGACUUUGGAUUCAAGAUGGGAUAGUUUUAAUAAUAAAAAUAACGUAGAACAAAAAAGUGAUAUGUAAAUGUAGUAUGUGGAUAUAUUGUUACCUGAUGUAAGAAAGAGGUUUUACUAGUUAGUUUCUGUAACUUUUGGUUCCCUUAAAUAAGAUCUCUGUUUGGCUGAUAAUGUCCUGAUGUAUGUCUUGAUAUAUUGGUUGAGAAAGAGGCUUAUGAUAUACUGUUUUGGUUCUUCUCUAAUUCUUGAACUAACUCGAGCUGAAAUUUCUUUAUAACGCACGACGUCAUCUUCCAGCAUCCUGUGAAGACAAACUGGAUCAAAUAAACAUAAGAGAGUCAGAGUAAGAGAGUCUCCAGAAUUCAAUCUCAGACCAUACAUUCAUGAGAUCCCUCAUUCCAGUGCAAAUGGCACCACCCACCACUGAUACUAAUCAGUUUAAUGUGAAUAAGAAAAAAAAUUGUAUCAUUAUAGGACUUACCAAAUACAAAUUUACAAUAAUCUGCUUAACAGUUUUAACUAAUUUUCUCAGAUAACAAUGUGUGGAGAUGAGAACUUGUUUCUCAAGCAAAUGAAGAUCAAAAGCAACUCAAGGCUUAACUCUAGUCAAGUUAAAGUUGGGUUGGGAUACUUUUGGGACCACAAAGGGGAGCCUCUCCGUUUUGUCAGUUUGUUCUCAAAAGGGUUGCGGUUUGUUUUAGCACAAGGAAGCCCUAGUUAGCUGUCUCUAUAUAUAGGUGCUUAUCUUCAUUGAGAGAAGCUAAGGGAGAAGGGAGUAGAGAGAGAGAGCAAUAGCACAAUGUAGAUCUAAGAAGAAGAGUUAGUAAGGUAUAGAGAUGAGAGAAAACAUGUAUUAGUAUAAGCUUGUCAUUGUUGUUCUCUGAGUUAUACAGGAAGUGGUACAGAGUGAGUCUAAGUACUAGUGAAGGGUAUUAGACGGGUCACUUGUUGCUUCUUGUUUGUAAUACCUUCUUCUUCAUAGUGAAGUUGUGGAUCUAUCGAUCCUAACCGGACGUAGCGGCUCGUUAAUGCCGUGAACCGGGUUAACAAAUCCUUUGUGUGCUCCUCUUCUUCCUUCAUCUUGCUCUAUUUUAUCUUCCUCCUCUUCUCGAUACUUUACUUGAUUUGUUUCCGUAAUAUGGUGUUGAUGACAAAUGAGAUAAAGCUUGAGCCUUUGAGAGGCUAAAAACCUCUACACAAUGAAAUAUCAUGAGAACUCUAUCAAUUAUAACUGAAACUAAUCCUUACAGAUCAAACUCCAAUCUCAUGGAUUGGUUAAAAGGUUACAAACCAAGUUCUUCAUUAUAAAGCACUAAGACUACCAAAUUAAUGCCGUUUAUUUUAUGUUACGGCCACAUUAACCCCUAAACCCUAGAAUCAAGCUCACUAAAUUGAUUUCGUUUCAUGACUCGGUCAAAACUAAUUUGACCCUUGAGAUUUUUUUUGGUGUUCUUAACUAAAGCAGCGUUUGAAUAAAACAAGGAGAAUUAAUUAGCAAACCCCAAAAAAAAGAAAGAGCAAUUAUUCUUGCUCGUGAAAUCACGAGAAAAUAUGCGAAAAUGAAAUCACCUGAAGCUCCUUGAUUUCGGAUUCCUCCACCAAAACUUCGACGAGAGUGACGGUGAUCGCAAUGGCUCCGCCGUUGUCAAGUCAAAAUCUCUUUCUCGACUUGUUUAAACUAUGCAUACCGGUUUAAUAUAAAUCGAAAUGCAGUCUUGGUCUAAACUGGUUUACUUACUGCUGGUUUAGUUUAAUGAUGGGUCUAAUUUUUUGACAUAUAUUUGGAUGACAAGGUGUGAUUCAUAACCCAUCCCUACUACGCCGGGUAACGCGACUUAAUGGAAUCGAACUCCGGUGGGAAGGCGGAGUCAAAUGGACUUAACCACUUGAUUAAAGGCACAUCAAUGAUGAGUCUAAUUGUAAACCUGUUUUUUCAAAAUUUCCAACACAUUCAUCGUUGUUCAAUUAAUUAUAAGCUAUGACUUAUUUCAUCUGACGAUUUCUUUGGAGAAAAUAAGCAAUUUAUUAAUAAACACACGAAACAUCAAACAUGAACCAAACAUACAGAAAAAAAAAACAAAAAAAAAACGGACAAGCUGAUGAAGGAUCAUAUGGUAUCACAUAUUCACGGCCCUCCCUUGUUUUAUUUUAUUUGGUAUCACUGAAAAGAUGAUAAAGACCCUCCCUUAUUGCAUCACACACACACACAUAUUGACAAACACGCAUCAUCUACGAACAGCGUCUAUGCAGAGUCAACUCCAUAAAAGAAGAGAUCACCAAACCGAUCAUUAGUUUGAGCUUUCCCACCAAGCAUCACCAGUCCUUUCUUACCAUCAAUGGUCCCAGUCGUGGACGCAGACCAUCCUCUGAUACUUGGAGUCUCUUCCUCUUCACCAAACUUAUCCAGCUUCUCCCACUUCAACGUCUCUGUAUCAAACGCAAAAGUCCCACCACUCAAUUGACCCGGACCCUCGUGAGCUUUUGGGUCCAUCGCUAUCUCACCUCCAAAGAUCAAAAGGUAUUUCCCAACAACCGCACUAGCGAACACACUCCUCGCACAAGGCUUCUCACCGAACGUUUCCACUUGUGUCCACUUGUCUUGAACAGGAUCGUAGCAAUGAACAUCAUCAACUUCACAUCCGUUGAAUCCAUACACAACCCAUACCUUCCCUUGUACCACUUCGAGCCCGGCUCCUCCUCUUAUGCUAAAGGAACCUCCCGGGGUCGAACACUGAACCCACUUGUGAUCAACGAUGUUGUAAGCGUCUAGUGUCUUGAGCCGAACCGUAGCGCUCACUCCACCGAAAACGUAAACGUUUUUCUCAUCGGCUGCCAUCGAGUGGAAGCUACGAGGAGUGGGUCCUUGUUCGACCGGAGUUAGCAGUUUCCACUCGUUCUUGAUCGUAUCAAACGAGUAGAAGCCGUUGUAUUUUCGUGAAGCGUCUCGGCCUCCAAAGACAUAGAGGCUUGAUCCAAUUGACACCAUACGGACGCCUAAGCAAGAGAGGUUUGGAACGUCUCCGGUGGCUGGAGAAAUGGACCAAGUCCGGGUCUCGAGGUCGAAGACAUAAAGGUGUUUGUCGAUGGGCUGAUUUGGUGUGAGCUCACCACCAAAGGAGUAAAUCUUGUUUCCUACUUGUGCUAUGUCAUGUGAGCAUCUUGGCCCUGGACCCUCUCCUUUUUGCUCCACCUUAUAAAUAAAUCAUAUUUGUUAGUUAGAGAUUUGGAUUCUGAUUAGUAACAUGCAUGCAUAAUAGUGGAAUUAUUCUGCGAUUCUUGCAGAUUAGUGAAAAUUUUAAAAGUAAAACCGUCAUUAAUAUAUAUGGAUUUCCAAUAAAGACAAGUGUUUUGUUUUCUCUUAUUAUGAUUUUUUUUUUUCCAUUUUUAUUGACUUUAUCAAUCAAAAACCUUAAUUGUGUUGUAUGGGUUAAAAAUCAUUUUUUAUGUUGGUCUAAGAUACUACUAAUACCUUUAUCCACUUUCCACGCAAUUUUGGAGUGGACGGCAAAGAAAUAUAGGCUCCAAGUGAGUGCAAAACAUCAGUGGAACGUCCGUGAAACCCAACGAUUUUGCCACCUUGGAGGACAAACUUGGUCCCGGAGACAAUUCCAAACGGCGGAGAAGUUUUGCCUUUAUAAGUCUUGAACGUAAGAGUUGAGAUGAUCUCUUUUGUUGAGACCCCAAAAACUUUCUCAUGAUAACCUUCCACGUAUACUAUGUAGUCAUCUGCAUCAACCUCAAACUACAAAGAGAAUUCUCAAUGAGAAAACCAAUAAAUUAACAAUCUCAACAUGCAUAAAUAUAUCUAUAUUAGUACCUCCUCAGCUCCUAGCAAAGUCUUCUUCCCACGUUCAUCGCCAACAACCACUUGAGAACCAUUGACAUACUCAAACUUGACGAAGGCGAUACCAUCUUCGCCUUGCCCUACGUAUACUUUUCUAACACCGUCGUAAGAACCAUCAUCCCAUACAUCUCCUAUCUCACCACCCUUUGCUUCCACCUUUUGUGCCAUCUCUUUUGCUUGCGAGUGAUCAAAUCUUACCAAUAUUGCCUGUUACUACGAAUAUAAUCAAAUCUUAUACAAACUACAAUCAUAUAAGAAAGAGGGAGAGAUAUGUGGGGAGAGCUGACCUGAGGCUGAGAAGAAACUAACGAUUGUUACAUACUUACAUGAUCCUUUUGGAAAAAUUGCAUGGGUAUUUAUUGACCCAUGGAAGAUACACGGUCACCGUUUCAGAUUUGUCAUGUUGUUUUGGCCCAGGGAAAACAAUAGAAAAUAAUGUAAUUAAAUUAUAAAGUUCUAUAUAUUAUAAUCAAUUAGUUAAAAUUAUCAUUUUAAAAAUGCAUAAAGCAUAUUUUUAUAACUGGAACCAAUAUAUUUUGAAAGAAAAUCAUAUUAAAUAGAGAGGAAAAUUUGUAAGAAAAAACGCACAAUAUAAUUUUAUUUUCCAUAUGGAAUAAAAAAAUCACUAAUAAAUGUCCCAAACAAAUAAAAUUAGUAUUCAAACAUAAAAUCUGGAAACUGUGGCAACUGGCCCCUUUAUCACUCAUGUAGAGACGCGAGGCAUAUCAAAAUAUCAAGUGUUGCCGAUAUAUAUGAAUGAUGAAUUGAUGAUGACUCCAUGGGUAUAUAAUGCUAAUUGUUGCCGAUAAGAAUUAAGAAUAAUGUGUACACGUCGACGUAUUUGGUCUUAGAUGUCUAUCAGGUAGUUCAUGUUUUUUGUAAUAAAGAAUCAUAUAUCAAACACUUAGCAGAAUAUGCAAAACUUCAGACAUGCUAAUUAAACCCUAAUUAAAAUAUCAAUCCGAGUUACUAAAAUCCAUCUCAAUAGAUUGAUUUCAUAAUUUUCAUUUCAUGAUUUUGUCAAAACUAAUUGAUCUUGAGUUGGUGUUCUUAACUAUAUCGUUUAUAUUGAUUUUUUAGUGCUCAACUGAUAGGGAAACUGGUAACGCAAACAGAUGUCUCUGUUUUUUAAUUUUGACGUAAGUCUUCUCAAAUCUACUAACAAACACCAGAUCUUAUCCGUAAGGCAUUAAAGAUUACCAGCUAUUUAAUCAAAUCUUCUCCAACCCACAAACAAAAUUUAAUGCCAUGUCAUUGUAAUAGUACAAAAAAAAUUCAAAGAGAAAUUAAAGUUUCACCAAACUAUCUUUUUGUUGUUGUUGUUGUUGUUGUUUUAAUUACAGUUUAUAAGCAAUGGAGGAUCUAAGAACAGAUUAUCAAAUCUUUUUAUACAUCUCUUUUUGGUUUAAUAAUUUCAUCAAACUUUUGAAUCACAACCAUGUUCCCAUCAUCUCUGCUUUUGCGGGUUCUCUCUAUAUUCUUACACUUAGCUUCGAGCUUCUUAAUGAUCAAUGCUCUUGGCUGUCGUCCCGACCAGAUUAUGCAUUUUAAGAACGAGUUUGAUUCCCGCAGUUGCAAUUAAACUGACUACUUCAAUGGAGUCCGGUGCGAUAACACGACGGGUGCUGUCACCAAGCUACAACUACCAAAUGGCUGUCUCAGUGGCAUUCUCAAGCCCAACAGUAGCCUCUUCGGGUUGCAUCAGCUCCGUCACCUUAAUCUCUCAAACAACAACUUCAUCUCCUCUUCACUUCCUUCCGAGUUUGGUAUUCUCAACAGAUUAGAGGUCUUAUCUCUUUCCUCUAACGGCUUCAUCGGCCAAGUUCCUUCUUCACUUAGUAAUCUAAGUCGGCUUUACUUGUUAGACCUUUCCCACAACCAGCUCACUGGUAGUUUCCCACUUGUGCAAAACCUAACCGAGCUAUCCAUUUUAUCGCUUUCUGAUAAUCACACUUCUCUGGGACACUGAGUCCUAACAGUAGCCUCUUUGAGUUGCACCACCUCCGUUACCUUGAUCUCGCUUACAACAACUUCACUUCCGCUUCUUCACUCUCUUCUCGUUUCGGCAGUCUCAACAGAUUAGAGUUCUUGUCUCUUUCCUCUAACGGCUUCAUCGGCCAAAUUCCUUCCUCAUUUAGUAACCUAACCUGGUUAAACCAGUUGGAUCUCUCACAUAACAAGCUCACUGGUAGUUUCCACCUUGUCCAAAAUCUCACCAAGCUUUUCUUUUUGAACCUUUCCUAUAAUCACUUUUCUGGAACCAUCCCUUCUCUGCUCACCAUGCCUUUCUUGUCAAAUCUUGAUCUCAGUAGAAAUUUUCUCACUGGUCCUAUUGAAGUUCCCAACUCCUCUUCAUCUAGGCUCGAACAUCUAUACAUUGGGAAUAACCAAUUUGAAGGACAGAUUCUAGAGCCUAUCUCAAAGCUCAUCACUCUCAAAUAUCUAGACAUUUCUUUUCUAAACAUAAGCUACCCAAUUGACUUAAGGCUCUUGUUCACUCUCAAAUCUUUGUUGAUACUUGAUAUUUCCGGUAAUAGUUUAUUGGAAACUAGUAUACAUUCAGAUUUAGACAUCCCAUUGAACUUGAAAAAACUGGACUUGUCCGGUUGUGGCAUUAAUCAGUUCCCAACCUUCUUAAAGAACCUUAAGAAAUUGGAGUAUAUAGACCUUUCCAACAAUAAAAUAAAAGGGAAAGUCCCUGAGUGGUUGUGGAACCUUCCUCGUCUGGGCAGAGUGAAUCUUUUAAACAAUUUGUUCACUGAUUUAGAAGGUUCGGGAGAAGUUUUACUGAAUUCAUCGGUGAGGUUUUUAGAUUUGGGUUAUAACCAUUUUAGAGGACCAUUUCCAAAACCACCACUCUCUAUCAACCUCUUAUCUGCAUGGAACAAUAGUUUCACAGGAAACAUACCUCUUGAAACCUGCAACCGAAGCUCUCUUGCUGUUCUUGACCUAUCCUACAACAACUUAACUGGUCCAAUUCCUCGUUGUUUGAGUAAUUUCCAAGAGUCUCUCAUUGUAGUGAACCUCCGGAAGAACAACUUGGAAGGAAGUCUUCCAGAUAUAUUCUCUGAUGGUGCCUUGCUUCGGACACUUGACGUUGGCUACAAUCAACUAACCGGGAAG
This 11985-nucleotide long non-coding RNA is filed under the name Arabidopsis lyrata. RNAcentral describes it as "long non-coding RNA (ALYR_LNC002091)". The record is from RNAcentral. Lineage: Eukaryota; Viridiplantae; Streptophyta; Magnoliopsida; Brassicales; Brassicaceae.